AGAGUUUGAUCCUGGCUCAGGAUGAACGCUAGCGGCAGGCCUAAUACAUGCAAGUCGAACGGUAAGGUCCCGCUUGCGGGAUACACGAGUGGCGCACGGGUGAGUAACGCGUAUGCAACCUACCUUUAACUGGAGGAUAGCCCCGAGAAAUCGGGAUUAAUACUUCAUAACACUAUGAAACGACAUCGUUUUAUAUUUAAAGCUCCGGCGGUUAAAGAUGGGCAUGCGUGACAUUAGAUAGUUGGUGAGGUAACGGCUCACCAAGUCAGCGAUGUCUAGGGGUUCUGAGAGGAUUAUCCCCCACACUGGUACUGAGACACGGACCAGACUCCUACGGGAGGCAGCAGUAAGGAAUAUUGGGCAAUGGACGAAAGUCUGACCCAGCCAUGCCGCGUGCAGGAUGACAGCCCUAUGGGUCGUAAACUGCUUUUAUACGAGAAGAAACCUUCGGACGUGUCCGAGGCUGACGGUACCGUAUGAAUAAGACCGCUAAC
This 494-nucleotide ribosomal RNA is filed under the name uncultured bacterium. RNAcentral describes it as "bacterial SSU rRNA". It matches the Rfam family "Bacterial small subunit ribosomal RNA", at positions 8 to 501 of the family's 1533-position model. The record is from RNAcentral.